Molecule: ribosomal RNA, 253 nt
Filed under: uncultured bacterium
Lineage: Bacteria
Description: partial 16S ribosomal RNA
Rfam family: Bacterial small subunit ribosomal RNA
Source: RNAcentral
UACGUAGGGGGCAAGCGUUAUCCGGAUUUACUGGGUGUAAAGGGAGCGUAGACGGCCUUGCAAGUCUGGUGUGAAAGCCCGGGGCUCAACCCCGGGACUGCAUUGGAAACUGCAUGGCUGGAGUGCAGGAGAGGUAAGCGGAAUUCCUAGUGUAGCGGUGAAAUGCGUAGAUAUUAGGAGGAACACCAGUGGCGAAGGCGGCUUACUGGACGGUAACUGACGUUGAGGCUCGAAAGCGUGGGGAGCAAACAGG